CAUGCAAGUCGAACGGAAAGGCCCUUUCGGGGGUGCUCGAGUGGCGAACGGGUGAGUAACACGUGGGUGAUCUGCCCUGCACUUUGGGAUAAGCCUGGGAGACUGGGUCUAAUACCGGAUAGGACUACGCACUGCAUGGUGUGUGGUGGAAAGCUUUUGCGGUGUGGGAUGGGCCCGCGGCCUAUCAGCUUGUUGGUGGGGUGAUGGCCUACCAAGGCGACGACGGGUAGCCGGCCUGAGAGGGUGUCCGGCCACACUGGGACUGAGAUACGGCCCAGACUCCUACGGGAGGCAGCAGUGGGGAAUAUUGCACAAUGGGCGCAAGCCUGAUGCAGCGACGCCGCGUGAGGGAUGACGGCCUUCGGGUUGUAAACCUCUUUCAGCAUCGACGAAGCGCAAGUGACGGUAGAUGCAGAAGAAGCACCGGCCAACUACGUGCCAGCAGCCGCGGUAAUACGUAGGGUGCGAGCGUUGUCCGGAAUUACUGGGCGUAAAGAGCUCGUAGGUGGUUUGUCGCGUUGUUCGUGAAAACUCACA
RNAcentral lists this ribosomal RNA (537 nucleotides) under uncultured Mycobacterium sp. RNAcentral's name for it is "bacterial SSU rRNA". It matches the Rfam family "Bacterial small subunit ribosomal RNA", at positions 54 to 606 of the family's 1533-position model. Lineage: Bacteria; Bacillati; Actinomycetota; Actinomycetes; Mycobacteriales; Mycobacteriaceae. The record is from RNAcentral.